RNAcentral lists this ribosomal RNA (403 nucleotides) under uncultured bacterium. RNAcentral's name for it is "partial 16S ribosomal RNA". It matches the Rfam family "Bacterial small subunit ribosomal RNA", at positions 28 to 526 of the family's 1533-position model. The record is from RNAcentral.
GACGAACGCUGGCGGCGUGCCUAAUACAUGCAAGUCGAACGCAGUGGGGACGGGUGAGUAACACGUGGGUAACCUCCCAUCAGAGGGGAUAACACUUGGAAACAGGUGCUAAACCGAUACUGAUGGAUGGACCCGCGGUGCUUUAGCUAGUUGGUGAGGUAACUGCUCACCAAGGCCACGAUGCAUAGCUGACUGGGAAGGGUGAUCGGCCAAACUGGGACUGAGACACGGCCCAGACUCCUACGGGAUGCAGCAGUAGGGAAUCUUCGGCAAUGGACGAAAGUCUGACCGAGCAACGCCGCGUUAGUGAAGAAGGUUUUCGGAUCGUAAAACUCUGUUGUUAGAGAAGCGGUAUCUAACCAGAAAGCCACGGCUAACUACGUGCCAGCCGCCGCGGUAAUUC